RNAcentral lists this transfer RNA (89 nucleotides) under Saccharomyces cerevisiae (brewer's yeast). It matches the Rfam family "tRNA". Rfam says of the family: Transfer RNA (tRNA) molecules are approximately 80 nucleotides in length. Their secondary structure includes four short double-helical elements and three loops (D, anti-codon, and T loops). Further hydrogen bonds mediate the characteristic L-shaped molecular structure. tRNAs have two regions of fundamental functional importance: the anti-codon, which is responsible for specific mRNA codon recognition, and the 3' end, to which the tRNAs corresponding amino acid is attached (by aminoacyl-tRNA synthetases). tRNAs cope with the degeneracy of the genetic code in two manners: having more than one tRNA (with a specific anti-codon) for a particular amino acid; and 'wobble' base-pairing, i.e. permitting non-standard base-pairing at the 3rd anti-codon position. The record is from RNAcentral. Lineage: Eukaryota; Fungi; Ascomycota; Saccharomycetes; Saccharomycetales; Saccharomycetaceae.
CUCUCGGUAGCCAAGUUGGUUUAAGGCGCAAGACUGUAAUAUAUCACUACGAAAUCUUGAGAUCGGGCGUUCGACUCGCCCCCGGGAGA